This 73-nucleotide transfer RNA is filed under the name Felis catus (domestic cat). It matches the Rfam family "tRNA". Rfam says of the family: Transfer RNA (tRNA) molecules are approximately 80 nucleotides in length. Their secondary structure includes four short double-helical elements and three loops (D, anti-codon, and T loops). The record is from Rfam by way of RNAcentral. Lineage: Eukaryota; Metazoa; Chordata; Mammalia; Carnivora; Felidae. RNAcentral also lists the same sequence under 3 other names.
GCCUGGUUGGUUCAGUCGGCAGAGCAAGCAACUCUUGAUUUUAGGGUUGUAGGUUCAAGCCCCACAUUGGGUA